GAUUUCUGGUUUGGUGCGCCUGGCCCACUGCCUUCAGGUAUGUGAGUGCCGGUGCGCGCCUGCCAUCCCUUCUAGAGAACGGCUCUGCCCUUCACUGGUGUCGGAGUCGCGAUCUAGAUCUUUUACUUUGAAAAAAUUAGAGUGUUUAAAGCAGGCUUGCGCUAUGAAUACAUUAGCAUGGAAUAAUAAUUUAGGACUUUGGCCCUAUUUUGUUGGUUUCUAGGACUGAAGUAAUGAUUGAUAGGGAUAGUUGGGGGUGCUCGAAUUCAGCGGCCAGAGGUGAAAUUCUUGGAUUCGCUGAAGACGAACUCAUGCGAAAGCAUU
RNAcentral lists this ribosomal RNA (324 nucleotides) under Kraken sp. Its description in RNAcentral is "SSU rRNA". The stretch from base 112 to 324 matches the Rfam family "Eukaryotic small subunit ribosomal RNA", at positions 741 to 955 of the family's 1831-position model. Lineage: Eukaryota; Cercozoa. The record is from RNAcentral.